This is a long non-coding RNA of Helianthus annuus (common sunflower), 869 nucleotides long. RefSeq lists it as uncharacterized. Lineage: Eukaryota; Viridiplantae; Streptophyta; Magnoliopsida; Asterales; Asteraceae. The record is from RefSeq and is a predicted model, not a curated record. The transcript is spliced from 2 exons.
UUCCAUUCCAUCUUGUUUAGUCCCUUAAGUUUACCAUUUUUCCAUACUUGUCAAAAACUUAAUUCCUUCUUAUUGAAUUUAUAAGUUAACUAAGUUAAAUAACUUAGUUACCUCCUUUUAUUCCAUAACAUAAAGGAUUGUGUCAACGAAUAAAAUAUACGGGUUUUGGGGUGUUACACCCGAACCCUACCGACCAAUACUCGAACCCUACCCCGACCCGAAAUUAGGGUAUUCUAAUAACCAGGUAUUGAAAACCCGAAACCGGGUACAUAGCGUAUAGCUUUUUUGGCCAAUACCCGGACCGAACCCGACCCGGGUAUGGUCAAAACCCGAAAAGUCAAAACCUGAUCAUACCCGUACUCGGGUAUAUGCCCGAACCCGGGUAUUAAAAAAACCUAGUUUGUGCACCUCUAGGGGUGGGUUACGGGGUUUAAGUUUUUUUCGUAGUAAUGUGCAUUGAGUUUGCCGACGACAUCUCUAGAGGUAUUCUACUAUACAACGGGGUAGUCAAAGCUUAAGCUUCGAAGAGUGGUGCUUAUCGACAUAAAUGGCUCAAAGAAUGACACAUGUUUUAUCAGACGUUUACUUAGGUGUUCCCCUUUGGUAAGAAAGUUUCUUAUUCGUCCUUACCGGUACCGGGGGGUUUAGACACAAGCUAAAGUGUGGGAGUUUCUUACGAACUUGUUGUAUAUCCAGAAUGACAACAACAGUGUUGACUUCCAAUUAGUCGCAGAAUAUUAGUUGGUUUGCACUUGUCUUACAUUUGCUGCAUGUUUCUAUGAAUCUAUGGUCUAGACUCUAGUAUGAAUUACGGGUGACAUAUGAUUUCUUACUUUUGAAUCACAAUGGAGAUGAGUAUGAUAAUUCCA